Molecule: transfer RNA, 85 nt
Filed under: Desulfurococcaceae archaeon
Lineage: Archaea; Thermoproteati; Thermoproteota; Thermoprotei; Desulfurococcales; Desulfurococcaceae
Description: tRNA-Leu
Rfam family: tRNA
About the family: Transfer RNA (tRNA) molecules are approximately 80 nucleotides in length. Their secondary structure includes four short double-helical elements and three loops (D, anti-codon, and T loops).
Source: RNAcentral
GCGGGGGUGCCCGAGCCGGGUCAAAGGGGGCGGACUUAAGAUCCGCUGGCGUAGGCCUGCGUGGGUUCAAAUCCCACCCCCCGCA